This 438-nucleotide long non-coding RNA is filed under the name Cairina moschata (Muscovy duck). RNAcentral's name for it is "domestica (muscovy Duck (domestic type)) lncRNA (ENSCMMG00000002079.1)". The record is from RNAcentral. Lineage: Eukaryota; Metazoa; Chordata; Aves; Anseriformes; Anatidae.
AUGGCACGGAGUAAAGGAACCCGCAUGCACGCAGGGUCCAGUGGCGGAGCGGGAAAAAAGAGGGCUCUGUCUUUUGGAGCCAACAGUUUUUCAGGGGUCGUGACUACGAGGCAGCUCUCCGAGUCGGCUCCAAAGGGAGGGAGGAAGGAACGCAGGGAGGGUCACUACACUGAGGCUUUCCCACGGUCGCUCCACCACCUCCUUAACACCGGGAUAACGAAACACCCGUGGAGAGAGGAGCCAUCAGACAAAAGGGCAAGAGUAGAAACAAAAUCCAUUUCAAAAUGCAGAGAAAAGAAAUGAACAGCAACAACAACAAUGACAAAAAAAGCCAAAAGCUGUUCUCUGCAAAGGCUGUCUUUCACUGCGAAUUAUGAAGAUGGAAGGUAUGUAACAUAAUGAUCUAGCUUUGAAGUAUUCUAGACUUAAUGAUUCAUU